UGUGGCUCAAUGGUAGAGUGCUUGCUUAGCAUGCAUGAAGCCCUGGGUUCAAUUCCUCAGCA
RNAcentral lists this transfer RNA (62 nucleotides) under Dipodomys ordii (Ord's kangaroo rat). It matches the Rfam family "tRNA", at positions 6 to 65 of the family's 71-position model. Rfam says of the family: Transfer RNA (tRNA) molecules are approximately 80 nucleotides in length. Their secondary structure includes four short double-helical elements and three loops (D, anti-codon, and T loops). Further hydrogen bonds mediate the characteristic L-shaped molecular structure. tRNAs have two regions of fundamental functional importance: the anti-codon, which is responsible for specific mRNA codon recognition, and the 3' end, to which the tRNAs corresponding amino acid is attached (by aminoacyl-tRNA synthetases). tRNAs cope with the degeneracy of the genetic code in two manners: having more than one tRNA (with a specific anti-codon) for a particular amino acid; and 'wobble' base-pairing, i.e. permitting non-standard base-pairing at the 3rd anti-codon position. The record is from Rfam by way of RNAcentral. Lineage: Eukaryota; Metazoa; Chordata; Mammalia; Rodentia; Heteromyidae.